ACUGACUUCAGAUCAGAAGAUGAGUGUUUGUGUGGAGGAAGAGGAGGACAGAGCAGAGUCUGUAGUGUCCAGCUGUCUGUCUAUGAAGAGUGACCGGUCCAAAGGUCUUCCUGUAGUCUUCAGUAAUGGACCUGGACCCUCAGACUCACAGAGGUUUUAGAUGAUCAUAAGAUCAGUCUGAAGAAGAGAUGUGAAUGUGUGACUGAAGGGACUGAUGAAACAGGAAGUGGAACCCUCCUCAACUGGAUCUACACUGAGCUCUACAUCACAGAGGGACAGAGUGAAGAGGUUAAUACCCAACAUGAGGUUUGGCAGCUUGAGACAGCUUCCAAGAUGGAGACUCUCCAUGACACUCCAAUCAGGUGCCACUGAUCUGACGAACGGUGUCGCUGGUGUUGGAAAAACCUUCUCAGUGCUGAAGUUCACUCUGGACUGGGCAGAGGGCUCGGAGAACCAAGAUGUCAGUCUGGUGGUUCUGCUUUCGUUCAGGGAGCUGAACCUGAUCAAAGAUGAGCAGUACAGUCUUCUCAGGCUGCUCCAUGUUUUCCAUCCAACAUUACAGAAGGUCACAGCAGAGCAGCUCGCUGUCUGUAAACUUUUGUUCAUCUUUGACGGCCUGGAUGAAAGCAGACUUUCACUGGAUUUCAAGACCAAGAAGGUUGUGUCUGACGUCACACAGAAGUCUUCAGUCAACGUGCUGCUGACAAACCUCAUCAAGGGGAAUCUGCUUCCCUUGACUCUCGUCUGGAUAACUUCCAGACCUGCAGCAGCCAAUCAGAUCCCUCCUGAAUGUGUUGACAGGGUAACAGAAGUACGAGGCUUCACUGACGCCCAGAAGGAAGAGUACUUCAGGAAGAGAGUCAGUGAUGAAUAUCUGUCCAACAGGAUCAUCUCACACAUCAAGACCUCCAGGAGCCUCCACAUCAUGUGUCUAAUCCCAGUCUUCUGCUGGAUCACUGCCACAGUUCUGGACCACAUGUUGACUACAAACCAGAAAAGGAGAGCUGCCCAAGACCCUGACUGACCUGUACUCACUCUUCCUGCUGGUUCAGACAAAGAGGAAGAAGCAGAAGUAUGAUGAGGGACAUGAGACGAGUCCACAGGAGCUGACAGAGGCUGACAGGAAGGUUCUUCUGAAGUUGGGGAGGCUGGCGUUUGAACAUCUGGAGAAAGGAAACAUCAUGUUCUACCAAGAAGACCUGGAACAAUGUGGUCUUGAUGUUUCAGAGGCCUCGGUGUACUCAGGAGUUUGUACAGAGAUCUUCAAAAGAGAGAGUGUGAUAUUCCAAAAAACAGUCUACUGCUUCGUUCAUCUGAGCAUUCAGGAGUUUUGGGCUGCAGUCUACAUGUUCCACUGUUACACCAACAGGAACACAGAGGUACUGGAGGGUUUCCUGGGGAAAAAAAUAUGUUGAUUCAUCUCUGGACGUUUUCCUGAUGGAAACAAUGAAGAAAUCCCUGAGGAGUAAAAACGGUCACCUGGACCUGUUUGUUCGCUUCCUUCAUGGCCUCUCUCUGGAGUCCAACAAAGGACUCUUAAGAGGCCUGCUGGGUCAGACAGACAACAGUCCAGAAACCAUCCAGAGAGCCAUCAACAACCUGAAGAAGAAGAAGACCCGGUCCUCUCCUGACAGAAGCAUCAACAUCUUCCACUGUGUGAUGGAGAUGAACCACCACUCAUUCCAUCAGGAGAUCCAAGAGUUACUGAAGUCAGAGAACAGAGCCAAGAAAGAACUCUCUGCGAUCCACUGCUCAGCUCUGGCCAUCAUGCUGCAGAUGUCAGAGGAGGUUCUGGAUGAGUUGGACCUGAAGAAGUGAAACACAACACAGGAGGGACAAUUGAGACUGAUUCCAGCUGUGAAGAACUGCAGAAAGGCUGUACUUUCUGACUGUGAACUCUCAUCAACUCACUGUGAAGUUCUGGUCUCAGCUCUGAAGUCCAACCCCCAUCUGAGAGAGCUGGACCUGAGUAACAACAACAACCUGAAGGAUUCAGGAGUGAAGCUGCUGUCUGCUGGACUGAAGAGUCCAAACUGUAGACUGGAGACAGUUGAUGUGUUUGCUCUGUGUAUAUCUACCAAAUCUAAUGACUCUGUUUGCACUCAGAUUGGAUUGAUGUUAGAAAGAAAAUUGCACGCUUUAAAUUACAGUGUGUUAAAAAAUCAUCAAUCAAUCAAUUGUAUCAGUAUUUCUGAAAAAACAAAAACUGUGCGGCAGGGGCUUCAUGGAAUGGGUUUCCAUGGCUGAGCAGCUGCAUGCAAGCCUUACAUCACCAAGUCCAAUGCCAAGUGUCGGAUGUAGUGGUGUAAAGCGCAUCAUCACUGGACUGUGGAGCAGUGGAAACGUGUUCUGUGGAGUGACGAAUAACGCUUCUCUGUUUGGCAGUCAGAUGGUGGAGUCUGGGUUUGGUGGAUGCCGGGAGAACGUUACCUGCCUGACUGCAUCGUGCCAACUGUGAAGUUUGGUAAAGGAGGGAUAAUGAUUGAGUGACUGCAGUUUGUCAGAGAUCAGCUGUUCUUCUCUGGUCUCAGCUCUGAAGUCCAACCCCUCCCAUCUGAGAGAGCUGGACCUGAGUUACAACUACAACCUGAAGGAUCCAGAUGUGAAGCUGCUGUCUGAUCUUGUGGAGAG
RNA transcript from Dicentrarchus labrax (European seabass), 2631 nucleotides. It is a transcript of the gene named ribonuclease inhibitor-like, with no coding region annotated. The transcript has 4 exons. Lineage: Eukaryota; Metazoa; Chordata; Actinopteri; Moronidae. The record is from RefSeq and is a predicted model, not a curated record.